Molecule: ribosomal RNA, 329 nt
Filed under: Coddingtonia euryopoides
Lineage: Eukaryota; Metazoa; Arthropoda; Arachnida; Araneae; Theridiosomatidae
Description: partial 12S ribosomal RNA
Source: RNAcentral
AUUUAUACUAUUUAGUUAAUACUAUAUUUCUAAGGAAAAUAAAUUUAUUUGGCGGUAUUUAUAUUUUGGAGGAACCUGUUUUUAUAAUUGAUAAUUCACAAUAAAUUUUACUUACUUUUAAAUUUUAUAUACCACCAUCUAGAGAAAUUUUUAAAAUUAACCUCUUAAUAAUUUAGCUAAAAUGUUAGGUAAAGGUGUAGACAAUAAAUAAGGUAAAAAUGUGUUACUUUGAAUUUAUUUAAAAAUUUCUAAAUUAAAUMUUAGAAUGAAUUAGGAUUCAUGAGUAAAAAUUUAAUAUUUAAAAAUUUUGAAAAUUAUUAUAAAUAUGU